RNAcentral lists this ribosomal RNA (325 nucleotides) under uncultured soil bacterium. RNAcentral describes it as "bacterial SSU rRNA". It matches the Rfam family "Bacterial small subunit ribosomal RNA", at positions 26 to 353 of the family's 1533-position model. The record is from RNAcentral.
AGAUUGAACGCUGGCGGCAGGCCUAACACAUGCAAGUCGAGCGGUAGAGAGGUGCUUGCAUCUCUUGAGAGCGGCGGACGGGUGAGUAAUGCCUAGGAAUCUGCCUAGUGGUGGGGGAUAACGUUCGGAAACGGACGCUAAUACCGCAUACGUCCUACGGGAGAAAGCGGGGGACCUUCGGGCCUCGCGCCAUUAGAUGAGCCUAGGUCGGAUUAGCUAGUUGGUGAGGUAAUGGCUCACCAAGGCGACGAUCCGUAACUGGUCUGAGAGGAUGAUCAGUCACACUGGAACUGAGACACGGUCCAGACUCCGUACGGGAGCAGCA